UUCCUUAAUACGAUAUCCAUUUAUUAAUGGUCUUCGUGGAUCUUGAACAUUGCUUCUUGAAUAUUUUCUUAGUCGUCGAAGAACAUAGGAAUAUUUGACGUGAUGGCGAGCAAUCAAAAUAGUACAACAAUUUGUUGUUCGGAAUCAAAUAAGCACAUACGUCAACUAAAUUCAAUCCAUCAUAUUAUUUUCGGAUGGGACAAAUUUAAUACUAUAACUUGGCUACUAUUAUUGCUAUUUUUCUGCAUUUGGUGCAUAGCAUUCUUCAAUAUGUAUCAACCAAUAUCAGAAGAUAAUCAUGAAGAUCAUCAUGAUCAUUAUUGAAAUACAAAAUGCAUAAGAAAAGAUGAUUAGUCGUAUAAAAAUAGAGCAAAAUAUAACAUAAAACUGAAUUAAGGUUAAAUUACUGGAUUCUAACAAAUUUGGUGAAUAACUCGUAUUUUUUGGCACCAAACACAAGGUCGACUGUAAUAAAUUGUUAAACGAGUAUUUAAGCGUCUAUACAAAAAUAUUAUGAUAAAAUGAUUUUUCCGGAACUUGUUUUCGAAUGAAUAAUUUUUUUUUAUAUAGGAAGAGGUCACAAGACAUACCGCUAUGCUUGUAAUUUUUAGAAUUAGAUGUCAAAACGGCAACAAUGAGUUUUGUACGGACAUAUGUGCGCGUAUAUGUAAAUAUCUAUACUUAAGCGGAACUCUUCCGGACUUUGUUUAUUAACAAAUAUAUUUUUUCUGUCAUAAAUAAUCUAAAAUUGUUAAACGGGUAUUUAAGCGUCUAUGCAAAAAUAACAUAUUAAAAAAUAAAAUAAUAUUUAACUAAA
Nylanderia fulva is the source of this 817-nucleotide non-coding RNA. Lineage: Eukaryota; Metazoa; Arthropoda; Insecta; Hymenoptera; Formicidae. The record is from RefSeq and is a predicted model, not a curated record.